RNAcentral lists this ribosomal RNA (251 nucleotides) under uncultured prokaryote. RNAcentral describes it as "partial 16S ribosomal RNA". It matches the Rfam family "Bacterial small subunit ribosomal RNA", at positions 524 to 774 of the family's 1533-position model. The record is from RNAcentral.
UACGUAGGCAGCGAGCGUUGUUCGGAGUUACUGGGCGUAAAGCGUGCGUAGGCGGUUUUCUAAGUUUGGUGUGAAAUCUCCCGGCUCAACUGGGAGGGUGCGCCGAAAACUGGAAGGCUGGAGUGUGGGAGAGGUAGGCGGAAUUCCUGGUGUAGCGGUGAAAUGCGUAGAUAUCAGGAGGAACACCUGUGGUGUAGACGGCUUACUGGACCAUCACUGACGCUGAGGCACGAAAGCGUGGGGAGCAAACA